AACACCACGGCCACCGCAGAACAAACUACCAUUUUCCUUCUAAGUAUUGACACAUAUGGAUUAGCAUAGGUGUUAGGGUUUAGAAUUUCCACUUUCUCUUCCAAUUUCCUCCGGAGAACGAUGACGGUGAAAGCGAUAAUGAUGACACUAGCAGCAUAACGGCAAUUGUAUGAAGAAUUUAAGGUAAUUGUUCAAUACUAAUUUUUAUGUUGCUCAAGGAUUAAUUUUUUUUUCUCCAAGUAAAAUAUAUUAUUCAAUGUUGUCGCAGGUUCAUAACUGUAUUUUUCCUAUGAG
RNAcentral lists this long non-coding RNA (294 nucleotides) under Erythranthe guttata (spotted monkey flower). RNAcentral's name for it is "long non-coding RNA (EGUT_LNC000555)". The record is from RNAcentral. Lineage: Eukaryota; Viridiplantae; Streptophyta; Magnoliopsida; Lamiales; Phrymaceae.